UACGGAGGGUGCGAGCGUUGUCCGGAAUCACUGGGCGUAAAGGGCGCGUAGGCGGCGCGACAAGUCAGUGGUGAAAGCCCGAGGCUCAACUUCGGGUCGGCCACUGAUACUGUCGGGCUCGAGCACUGUAGAGGCAGGUGGAAUUCCGGGUGUAGCGGUGGAAUGCGUAGAGAUCCGGAAGAACACCGGUGGCGAAGGCGGCCUGCUGGGCAGUAGCUGACGCUGAGGCGCGACAGCGUGGGGAGCAAACAGG
RNAcentral lists this ribosomal RNA (253 nucleotides) under uncultured bacterium. RNAcentral's name for it is "partial 16S ribosomal RNA". It matches the Rfam family "Bacterial small subunit ribosomal RNA", at positions 524 to 776 of the family's 1533-position model. The record is from RNAcentral.